This 487-nucleotide ribosomal RNA is filed under the name bacterium. RNAcentral's name for it is "bacterial SSU rRNA". It matches the Rfam family "Bacterial small subunit ribosomal RNA", at positions 192 to 666 of the family's 1533-position model. The record is from RNAcentral.
GUCUACGGACCAAAGGGGGCUUCGGCUCUCGCCUUUAGAUUGGCCCAAGUGGGAUUAGCUAGUUGGUGAGGUAAUGGCUCACCAAGGCAACGAUCCCUAGCUGGUCUGAGAGGAUGAUCAGCCACACUGGAACUGAGACACGGUCCAGACUCCUACGGGAGGCAGCAGUGGGGAAUAUUGCACAAUGGGCGAAAGCCUGAUGCAGCCAUGCCGCGUGUGUGAAGAAGGCCUUCGGGUUGUAAAGCACUUUCAGUCAGGAGGAAAGGGUGUGAGUUAAUACCUCACAUCUGUGACGUUACUGACAGAAGAAGCACCGGCUAACUCCGUGCCAGCAGCCGCGGUAAUACGGAGGGUGCGAGCGUUAAUCGGAAUUACUGGGCGUAAAGCGUACGCAGGCGGUUUGUUAAGCGAGAUGUGAAAGCCCCGGGCUCAACCUGGGAAUUGCAUUUCGAACUGGCAAACUAGAGUGUGAUAGAGGGUGGUAGAA